Long non-coding RNA from Scylla paramamosain (green mud crab), 464 nucleotides. RefSeq lists it as uncharacterized. The transcript has 3 exons. NCBI's taxonomy places the organism in Eukaryota, Metazoa, Arthropoda, Malacostraca, Decapoda, Portunidae. The record is from RefSeq and is a predicted model, not a curated record.
GAUCGGGACUGGUGGAAAGUGGUGAUGUGGGUCGUGCUCCACACACCGAGGACGGGACUUCCUCACAGUCUUUCCAAGUCUGCAUAACCUCCCUGAGAGUUAGAAUGACAGUCCCGACGCUACUCGUUCUCCUCUGCCUGUAAAUAAUGCAGUGGUGGGCUGGUGGUCUAAAGGCUGACUUCGAUCCCUCCUCACGGUAGUUUCUCUGCUCUGAAGUUGGUUUCCGUCAUAACGCGUCCGCUCCACCGGACCUUGUUGCUGCGCCGGGCCUUGACUCAGUCUGUACCUCAUGGCAGUGUCCAGGCUCCAUGAUACAAGGGAUGCAGUACAAACGCAAGUCUAAACAGUAUAGAGUUAACACCAUCCAGCACUCAGUGGCCCCAUCGCGCUGGUCAGUAGAGGACCCGAGGCCAUCAGAGGCAGCGGAACCUUUCUGGGUCGUAAGGUGAUAGCCCGGGGGACGU